AACGAACGCUGGCGGCAGGCCUAACACAUGCAAGUCGAACGAGACCUUCGGGUCUAGUGGCGCACGGGUGCGUAACGCGUGGGAAUCUGCCCUUGGGUUCGGAAUAAACUUCGGGAAACUGAAGCUAAUACCGGAUGAUGACGUAAGUCCAAAGAUUUAUCGCCCAAGGAUGAGCCCGCGUAGGAUUAGCUAGUUGGUGAGGUAAAGGCUCACCAAGGCGACGAUCCUUAGCUGGUCUGAGAGGAUGAUCAGCCACACUGGGACUGAGACACGGCCCAGACUCCUACGGGAGGCAGCAGUGGGGAAUAUUGGACAAUGGGCGGCAAGCCUGAUCCAGCAAUGCCGCGUGCAGGAUGAAGG
This 360-nucleotide ribosomal RNA is filed under the name uncultured bacterium. RNAcentral's name for it is "bacterial SSU rRNA". It matches the Rfam family "Bacterial small subunit ribosomal RNA", at positions 29 to 414 of the family's 1533-position model. The record is from RNAcentral.